This 490-nucleotide ribosomal RNA is filed under the name uncultured bacterium. Its description in RNAcentral is "partial 16S ribosomal RNA". It matches the Rfam family "Bacterial small subunit ribosomal RNA", at positions 30 to 507 of the family's 1533-position model. The record is from RNAcentral.
AUUGAACGCUGGCGGCAGGCCUAACACAUGCAAGUCGAACGGCAACACGAAGCCGCUUGCCGCUUCGCUGAGGAGUGGCGGAGGCGUGUGUAAUGUAUGGGGAACUCCCCGAUGUCGGGGGAUAUCACCUGGGAACGGUAGCUCUUACCGCAUAUCGUCCCCAGGUGUAAGAGCGGGGCAUUCUGGCCCCUUGCCAUCGGGUAUGCCCCGGUGGGAUUAGCUAGUAGGUGGGGGAACGGCUCACCUAGGCGACGAUCCCUAGCUGGUCUGAGAGGAUGACCAGCCACACUGGAACUGAGACACGGUCCAGACUCCUACGGGAGGCAGCAGUGGGGAAUAUUGCACAAUGGGCGCAAGCCUGAUGCAGCCAUGCCGCGUGUAUGAAGAAGGCCUUCGGGUUGUAAAGUACUUUAGGCGGGGAGGAAGAGAAGCAAGUUAAUACCUCUCUUCAUUGACGUUACCCGCAGAAGAAGCACCGGCUAACUCCGUG